RNAcentral lists this long non-coding RNA (672 nucleotides) under Homo sapiens (human). RNAcentral describes it as "non-protein coding lnc-TAF1A-5:1". Lineage: Eukaryota; Metazoa; Chordata; Mammalia; Primates; Hominidae. The record is from RNAcentral.
UGUUUAAAUUUAAAAUAGUUUAUUGGUGGACUCAUAGUUGUUAAACUACAACAUUUUACCUUAAAUGUUAAAAGCAUGAAAUCACAUGGAUUUUACAGUAAAGAAAGGAAAAGAAAGUAAUGCUUUAAAAUAAAAAUCUGUUUUCAAAGAACAUGAAAGUAUAGCUAAAUGGUAUUGAUAUAAAAAUAUUGCUUUAUUAUAUAUAUUGCUAUAUUGCAUAGAAGGCAUUGCUGGUCUGCCACCAUACCACCCUGAAUGCUCCCAAUCGAGAGCCUGUCACUUAGUAAGUGCUCAGUAGUUGUUAGCCAUUACUAUUACUAUUAUAUUUAUGUUUAGAAUUAUUUACUAGUUUUGUUAGAAUUGAGUGGCGUGUUUGAAUAACAAUAAUUUGAGGAUAUUGGAUUCUACGUAGAAAAGACUAUUUGCUGGUUUCUAUGCAACAGUUGUUUGAGAGAGUGAAUAAAUCUGUGAAUAUCGUGAAAUCUUUUGCACAUGGCAAAUUUUGUUACAUUGAAUAGAAUUGAAUGUCUUCAGGGAAACUUCUCAUAAUUAAAAAAUAAUCUUUCAGAUGGGAACAGUUACCCAUUUUGCCUACCACAAAAAUGAAACAAGUCAGUGGCAAAGAGAACACAUGUUGAUAUUUGUGUGUGUGUCAUUUCUAGAGUGUAAGCU